AUCAACUUUCGAUGGUAGGAUAGAGGCCUACCAUGGUGGUAACGGGUAACGGGGUGUUAGGGCACGACACCGGAGAGGGAGCCUGAGAAACGGCUACCACAUCCAAGGAUGGCAGCAGGCGCGCAAAUUACCCAAUCCCGACACGGGGAGGUAGUGACAAUAAAUAACAAUACGGGGUUCUUUAGGAUCUCGUAAUUGGAAUGAGUACAAUUUAAAUCUCUUAACGAGGAACAAUUGGAGGGCAAGUCUGGUGCCAGCAGCCGCGGUAAUUCCAGCUCCAAUAGCGUAUAUUAAAGUUGUUGCAGUUAAAAAGCUCGUAGUUGAAUUUCGGGGUUAGUAAGUUGGUCAUGCCUUCGGUAUGUACUGGCUUCACUGAUUCCUCCUUCUUGACGAACCGUGAUGUCAUUAAUUUGGUGUUGCGGGAAAUCAGGACUGUUACUUUGAAAAAAUUAGAGUGUUUAAAGCAGGCUAACGCUUGAAUACAUUAGCAUGGAAUAAUGAAAUAGGACGUUAAUCCUAUUUUGUUGGUUUCUAGGAUCGACGUAAUGAUUAAUAGGGAUAGUUGGGGGCAUUAGUAUUCAAUUGUCAGAGGUGAAAUUCUUGGAUUUAUUGAAGACUAACUACUGCGAAAGCAUUUGCCAAGGAUGUUUUCAUUAAUCAAGAACGAAAGUUAGGGGAUCGAAGACGAUCAGAUACCGUCGUAGUCUUAACCAUAAACUAUGCCGACUAGGGAUCGGAUGAUGUUAAUUUUUUAAUGACUCAUUCGGCGCCUUACGGGAAACCAAAGUGUUUGGGUUC
RNAcentral lists this ribosomal RNA (798 nucleotides) under uncultured Glomeromycotina. Its description in RNAcentral is "SSU rRNA". It matches the Rfam family "Eukaryotic small subunit ribosomal RNA", at positions 314 to 1114 of the family's 1831-position model. The record is from RNAcentral. Lineage: Eukaryota; Fungi; Glomeromycota.